RNAcentral lists this unclassified non-coding RNA (19 nucleotides) under Mus musculus (house mouse). Its description in RNAcentral is "oocyte_clustered_small_RNA5413". The record is from RNAcentral. Lineage: Eukaryota; Metazoa; Chordata; Mammalia; Rodentia; Muridae.
UUAUGUCAUUGCCUGCUGA